AAAAAACCCACAGAAGAAGCCUCUGUAAGACAAGAACCCACAGAACCCACAGAACCCACAGAAGAAGAAGCCUCUGUGGGAGAAGAACCCACAGAACCCACAGAAGAAGAACCCCCUGUGGGAGAAGAACCCACAGAACCCACAGAAGAAGAACCCUCUGUGGGACAAGAACCCACAGAACCCACAGAAGAAGCCUCUGCGGGAGAAGAACCCUCUGUGACAGAAGAACCCACAGAAGAAGCCUCUGUGGGAGAAGAACCCUCUGUGGGAGAAGAACCCACAGAACCCACAGAAGAAGAACCCUCUGUGGGAGAAGAACCCUCUGUGAGAGAAAAACCCACAGAAGAAGCCUCUGUGGGAGAAGAACCCUCUGUGGGACAAGAACCAACAGAACCCACAGAAGAAGAACCCUCUGUGGGAGAAGAACCCUCUGUGAGAGAAAAACCCACAGAAGAAGCCUCUGUGGGAGAAGAACCCUCUGUGGGACAAGAACCCACAGAACCCACAGAAGAAGAAGCCUCUGUGGGAGAAGAACCCACAGAACCCACAGAAGAAGAACCCUCUGUGGGAAAUGAACCCACAGAACCCACAGAAGAAGCCUCUGUGGGAGAAGAACCCUCUGUGGGACAAGAACCCACAGAACCCACAGAAGAAGCCUCUGCGGGAGAAGAACCCUCUGUGAGAGAAGAACCCACAGAAGAAGCCUCUGUGGGAGAAGAACCCUCUGUGGGACAAGAACCCACAGAACCCACAGAAGAAGAACCCUCUGUGGGAGAAGAACCCUCUGUGAGAGAAAAACCCACAGAAGAAGCCUCUGUGGGACAAGAACCCACAGAACCCACAGAAGAAGAAGCCUCUGUGGGAGAAGAACCCACAGAAGAAGCCUCUGUAAGACAAGAACCCACAGAACCCACAGAAGAAGCCUCUGCGGGAGAAGAACCCUCUGUGGGAGAAGAACCCACAGAACCCACAGAACCCACAGAAGAAGAACCCUCUGUGGGAGAAGAACCCUCUGUGGGAGAAGAACCCACAGAAGAAGCCUCUGUAAGACAAGAACCCACAGAACCCACAGAAGAAGAACCCCCUGUGGGAGAAGAACCCACAGAACCCACAGAAGAGGCCCGUGUUUGUGGGCUCAGGAGCGAUGAAGGAUGGGAACCCGUGUCAGGACAGGAAGCUGUGAGCCAGCUGUUUGCUGCCAUGUUGGACCAGUGGUGA
This 1218-nucleotide long non-coding RNA is filed under the name Betta splendens (Siamese fighting fish). RNAcentral's name for it is "lncRNA (ENSBSLG00000020385.1)". Lineage: Eukaryota; Metazoa; Chordata; Actinopteri; Anabantiformes; Osphronemidae. The record is from RNAcentral.